This 425-nucleotide ribosomal RNA is filed under the name uncultured bacterium. RNAcentral describes it as "bacterial SSU rRNA". It matches the Rfam family "Bacterial small subunit ribosomal RNA", at positions 354 to 796 of the family's 1533-position model. The record is from RNAcentral.
GUGGGGAAUCUUGGACAAUGGGCGCAAGCCUGAUCCAGCCAUGCCGCGUGAGUGAAGAAGGCCUUAGGGUUGUAAAGCUCUUUUGGCAGGGACGAUAAUGACGGUACCUGCAGAAUAAGCCCCGGCAAACUUCGUGCCAGCAGCCGCGGUAAUACGAAGGGGGCUAGCGUUGUUCGGAAUUACUGGGCGUAAAGCGCACGUAGGCGGGUCGUUAAGUCAGGGGUGAAAUCCCGGAGCUCAACUCCGGAACUGCCUUUGAUACUGGCGAUCUAGAGAUCGAGAGAGGUGAGUGGAAUUCCGAGUGUAGAGGUGAAAUUCGUAGAUAUUCGGAAGAACACCAGUGGCGAAGGCGGCUCACUGGCUCGAUACUGACGCUGAGGUGCGAAAGCGUGGGGAGCAAACAGGAUUAGAAACCCCAGUAGUCC